UUACGGCAAUAUCGCGUGGAAACGUCGGUUCUCGUCCGAUUACCGAAAUUAAGCAACGUCGAGCCUGGUCAGUACCUAGAUGGGUCAUCUCCUGGUAAUAUCAAGUGCUGUAA
Acanthosepion pharaonis is the source of this 113-nucleotide non-coding RNA. The record is from the annotation of a GenBank genome assembly. NCBI's taxonomy places the organism in Eukaryota, Metazoa, Mollusca, Cephalopoda, Sepiida, Sepiidae.